This 432-nucleotide ribosomal RNA is filed under the name uncultured bacterium. Its description in RNAcentral is "bacterial SSU rRNA". It matches the Rfam family "Bacterial small subunit ribosomal RNA", at positions 957 to 1391 of the family's 1533-position model. The record is from RNAcentral.
GAACGCGAAGAACCUUACCAGGUCUUGACAUCCCUCUGAUCGCUCUAGAGAUAGAGUUUUCCUUCGGGACAGAGGUGACAGGUGGUGCAUGGUUGUCGUCAGCUCGUGUCGUGAGAUGUUGGGUUAAGUCCCGCAACGAGCGCAACCCCUAUUGUUAGUUGCCAUCAUUUAGUUGGGCACUCUAGCGAGACUGCCGGUAAUAAACCGGAGGAAGGUGGGGAUGACGUCAAAUCAUCAUGCCCCUUAUGACCUGGCUACACACGUGCUACAAUGGCUGGUACAACGAGUCGCAAGUCGGUGACGGCAAGCUAAUCUCUUAAAGCCAGUCUCAGUUCGGAUUGUAGGCUGCAACUCGCCUACAUGAAGUCGGAAUCGCUAGUAAUCGCGGAUCAGCACGCCGCGGUGAAUACGUUCCCGGGUCUUGUACACACC